This is a long non-coding RNA of Felis catus (domestic cat), 1482 nucleotides long. RefSeq lists it as uncharacterized. The transcript is spliced from 3 exons. NCBI's taxonomy places the organism in Eukaryota, Metazoa, Chordata, Mammalia, Carnivora, Felidae. The record is from RefSeq and is a predicted model, not a curated record.
UUGGGCAAGUGGGGGGCUUUGUGGUGGUUUCCAGGUGUUAUCCUGGAGUUAACCCUUUGCUGCCUGUGGUUUUCAUCAGUGGUCAUUCUUUGACUCCUUCAACUUUGGCUCCUUUCGAAGUUAGUAGUGAAGCAGGGGGCUGGUGGAAGCCGUCCCUGGCUCUCUCUUCUUCAGGUCUCCCUGUGGUUUCGUUAGAACCGAUUUCCCUUUCUGUGUGAACUACCUGCAGUGUAUUUUUCUGGCUGUUCCGUGACUGCUACUGAAAAGCGUUUGUAUGUGCAAAGAUGUCUGUGCGUGAGAGGGAGUGUGAAAAUUCAGAGUUUUUGAAAAGCCCAAAGCCCGAAGUGGGCUUGGGAAGAAUACCACGUGCUGUAAAUGUUGCCUCAAUAAAGCGGUUAUUUGGGGACCGAGUCUGAUGGAAUUUCUGGGCAGUGGCUGUUUGAUUUAAGAGAGGAUAUUUAGUAUUGUAACAUACUAUUAUCUUCAGAAUGCUAAGAAACCAAAACAAAACAAUCCAAGAUACUAUUUUGUUAAUGUGAAUUCCUUGAAGUGGAGCUCAAUGAAAUCUUGGUUGGUGGCGGUACUUGGAAGACAGGAGUGAUUCUUAAGGAUUCGAAGGAGAGAGGCCUGAGCCCCCCAGAGGGAGGAGCUUCAGGUUCUCCACUGGGCUUGGGCUGCUCCCUCACCUUUGUGGGUCUAUGCUCAAAUGUUAUCUUGUCAGUGAAGUUCUCUAUGAGUGAACGCCGUUUCAAACCACCUUCACCUCCACCCUUCUGAGCCUUGCCUUUUCCCCAUUUCUGCUUCCUUGCUCCCUUUUUCAUCAUGGUGCAAGGUGUCUGACAGACUGUAUCUUACAGUGCAGAACCGGCUUGGGAUUCUCUCUCUCCACUGACCCCCAUAAAGGCAGACAGGUUUGUCUGUGGUGUUCACGGCUCUACCCUCAGUGCCCGAACUCUCCUCGGCACCUACUCGACACUCAAGAGGUAGUUGUUGAACAAGCGAGUCUCAUUACCCACACGUAACCACAGUCUUUUCCACUUAGCCUGAAGGAGUGCAUCUCAAUGGAAAAUAAAAUGAAGAUGCACACGUUUUUCUCCAGGAUUUGAGGCUGCGACAGCCUCAGAAGCCACGGAUUAUACCUCUGCUCCUCCAGCUCCCUGGUUGCAGAGACCAUGACAGGGACCCCUUCUGUUCUUUCCUGUCCCUUCUCCUCUGUGCUGAGACGACAACUUCAGUACAAAUAUAGUACGGCUGUCACGCCUGCUGGGAACAGGCACGUAUCACAUUAAUUAAGUUGUUUUUUCAGCCUUAGCCUUUGUCAAGUGGUAUUGGGUGGCUCUGAUUUAGUGGUAAAGACAAAUCAUACUCAGAAGUCUUAAAUCUUGGGGCGCCUGGGUGGCUCGGUCGGUUAAGCGUCCGACUUUGGCUCAGGUCAUGAUCUCACGGUCCGUGAGUUCGAGCCCCGCGUCGGGCUCUGUGCUG